Molecule: ribosomal RNA, 497 nt
Filed under: uncultured bacterium
Lineage: Bacteria
Description: partial 16S ribosomal RNA
Rfam family: Bacterial small subunit ribosomal RNA
Source: RNAcentral
GAUGAACGCUGGCGGCGUGCCUAAUACAUGCAAGUCGAGCGAACAGACGAGGAGCUUGCUCCUCUGACGUUAGCGGCGGACGGGUGAGUAACACGUGGAUAACCUACCUAUAAGACUGGGAUAACUUCGGGAAACCGGAGCUAAUACCGGAUAAUAUAUUGAACCGCAUGGUUCAAUAGUGAAGGACGGUUUUGCUGUCACUUAUAGAUGGAUCCGCGCCGCAUUAGCUAGUUGGUAAGGUAACGGCUUACCAAGGCAACGAUGCGUAGCCGACCUGAGAGGGUGAUCGGCCACACUGGAACUGAGACACGGUCCAGACUCCUACGGGAGGCAGCAGUAGGGAAUCUUCCGCAAUGGGCGAAAGCUUGACGGAGCAACGCCGCGUGAGUGAUGAAGGUCUUCGGAUCGUAAAACUCUGUUAUUAGGGAAGAACAAAUGUGUAAGUAACUAUGCACGUCUUGACGGUACCUAAUCAGAAAGCCACGGCUAACUACGUG